CUAGCGACUUCAGAGUUUGAUCCUGGCUCAGGAUGAACGCUAGCGACAGGCUUAACACAUGCAAGUCGAGGGGCAGCGAGAAAGUGCUUGCACUUUUGUCGGCGACCGGCGCACGGGUGAGUAACACGUAUGCAACCUGCCCUUGUCAGGGGGAUAAGCGGGGGAAACCCCGUCUAAUACCGCAUAUAUGGUUUGGAGGCAUCUCUAAAUCAGGAAAGAAUUAUCGGACAAGGAUGGGCAUGCGGGACAUUAGGUAGUUGGGGGUGUAACGGACCACCAAGCCGACGAUGUCUAGGGGUUCUGAGAGGAAGGUCCCCCACACUGGUACUGAGACACGGACCAG
This 343-nucleotide ribosomal RNA is filed under the name uncultured bacterium. RNAcentral describes it as "bacterial SSU rRNA". It matches the Rfam family "Bacterial small subunit ribosomal RNA", at positions 1 to 334 of the family's 1533-position model. The record is from RNAcentral.